Non-coding RNA from Acanthosepion pharaonis, 112 nucleotides. The record is from the annotation of a GenBank genome assembly. NCBI's taxonomy places the organism in Eukaryota, Metazoa, Mollusca, Cephalopoda, Sepiida, Sepiidae.
UACAGCCAUAUCACGUUGAAACACCUGUUCCCGUACGAUCAUCGAAGUUAAGCAACAUUAAGCCUGGUCAGUACCUAUAUGGUUGAAUGUUUAGGAAUAUCAGGAGCUGUAU